Molecule: ribosomal RNA, 393 nt
Filed under: uncultured bacterium
Lineage: Bacteria
Description: partial 16S ribosomal RNA
Rfam family: Bacterial small subunit ribosomal RNA
Source: RNAcentral
AUACGGAGGAUGCGAGCGUUAUCCGGAUUUAUUGGGUUUAAAGGGAGCGUAGGUGGGAUAUUAAGUCAGCUGUGAAAGUUUGGGGCUCCACCUUAAAAUUGCAGUUGAUACUGGUUUCCUUGAGUACGGUACAGGUGGGCGGAAUUCGUGGUGUAGCGGUGAAAUGCAUAGAUAUGACGAAGAACACCGAUUGCGUAGGCAGCUGACCAGACCGCAAAUGACGCUCAUGCACGAAAGUGCGGGGAUCGAACAGGAUUAGAUACCCUGGUAGUCCGCACAGUAAACGAUGAAUACUUGUUUUCGGCGAUAUAAUGUCGGAGGCAAAGCGAAAGCGAUAAGUAUUCCACCUGGGGAGUACGCCGGCAACGGUGAAACUCAAAGGAAUUGACGGGG